CUCCAGGAAAUGCUCAAUGGUUUUGGUUUUAGAUUAUCAUAACCAGUGAGCUAAUCCAUGUUUUUAGCUGCUAACAAUGCUGUCACUGAACAAUUUGCGGAUUAUGUGCACACCACAGGCUCUUCAGCAUUCACAUACAUUAUUUGUGAACAGACAAUGCGUAUCUAAGGCUUCCUCCUUUUAUGCAAAACUAUACAACAACUCGAUCACCUUCACUAGCAGUAAGGACACUAGGCACAACAACGGCAUAGAUUUCAGAUCACAGAAUGAAAGUAAGGUGAAACAUGUCAAUUCACUGGAAAGGACGUUCUGCACAGCGUCUGUAAAACUGAACUGUUAGAACUGUAGACAGUCUGUUGAACAAACUCCAGCCUUCUUCUGUUUAUAUUGUAAUUCUGUCCAGCCUCCAGAUGAGGGAGUAUCCUUCCAGAUUAUGGAUUGCUGGAGCUGAAGAUCAUGCACAUAGAAGAGGGGACGGAUAAUGGGGCCAAUCCUAUGUUUCUUAUGGAGUUGAUGGAGAUAACGAAGCUCUGGAUGAGGCAUAGAGCAAAGAAGAAACGGACAAGAUUGGUGCCUCUAUGAAAGAGAAAUUGAAAGACUUGACUGAACAAAUAGAUCCAUCUCUGCACAAAGGAGAGCGUCAAGCUGCCAAAACACUUCUCGCCCAAAUGAAAUACAUUGCGAGCAUUGAAACAAGGUGAAGGAAAAACUUUUAGAGCUAAUGUAAACUUUGUUUACUUGAUACUUAUUGGGUCUUUUUAAAGCUGUUUUGAAAGUCUUCAAUAAUUCUAAUAAUACAAUUAGUAUUUAUUUAUUUAUUAUGUACAGUAUUUGUUAAAGUUUCAGGUAUACUAAUAAAUGUCAAA
Molecule: long non-coding RNA, 866 nt
Organism: Oncorhynchus tshawytscha (Chinook salmon)
Lineage: Eukaryota; Metazoa; Chordata; Actinopteri; Salmoniformes; Salmonidae
Exons: 4
Source: RefSeq, a predicted model, not a curated record